GCUGCAGAGAAGGGGGCGGAGUCUGAGAGCAUAACUGGGGAGUUCGGUUCUCGAACCUGUACAGAGACCCGCGUUUGGGGGUUUUUGGGAGCGAGUCAGAACUCUCGGCGUCCUGGGCGGACACACCGUCCGCGAGCGACGAGGCCGGAGCAGCGGGGUUUCUGAACUGGAGGGUGUGGUGUGCCCAGGCAGAGGAGCUGCUGACGCUCGCUGAGGCCCUGGGAGCUGCGGGAUGCGGGGAAGGCGCGGGCGCUAGUGUGGAGGCGAGGCCGUAGAUCCGGAGGUGCGGGGCUGGGACGCGUGGGGCGGGCGUCGGCUGUGCGUGGCGUCCGCAGGAAGUGAGUUUGUGGGCUCUCCGGGCCGGGAAAGACCCGAGAGUGAAGUGCGCCGCGCCUGGCCUCACUGCUUACCGUUGGCUUCUGGCGUUUGGGAGAAACCGUUGGUGAAGCGAGGCAGAAUUAGAAAGGUCUUCCUUUUCCGUUGGUUCACCCCCCAAAUGGCCGCUACAGCCAUGGCCGCUACAGCCAGCACAUAGCACCGAUCUGAAGCCAGGAGCCAGGUGCUUCUCCUGGUCUCCCAUGCGGGUGCAGGGCCCAAGCACUUGGGCCAUCCUCCACUGCCUUCCCGGGCCAUAGCAGAGAGCUGGAUUGGAAGAGGAGCAACUGGAACAGAAUCUGGCGCCCCGACCGGGACUAGAACCUGGGGUGCCGGCACCGCAGGCGGAGGAUUAGCCAAGUGAGCCAUGGCGUGGGCCAAUAACUGCUUAAUAAAUAGAAGUUGAACUACACUGUGCCCUUCCCAGGUAAUUGCGCUGCCUGCAAUGCUGGCAUCACAUGAGUCCUGGAUGCCCUCUGCUAAAGGCCUGGGAAAAGCCGUUGGAAGAUGACCCAAGGGUUUGGGCCCCUGCUUUGCACACGGGAGACCUGGAAGAAGCUCUUGUUUCCUGGCUUUUGCAGCCAUCUGGAGAGUGAACCAUAUCUCUAUCUCUGUUUCUCCCCCACUCUGUAAUCCUGACUUCCAAAUAAAUAAAUAAAAUAUUUAA
Molecule: long non-coding RNA, 1042 nt
Organism: Lepus europaeus (European hare)
Lineage: Eukaryota; Metazoa; Chordata; Mammalia; Lagomorpha; Leporidae
Exons: 3
Source: RefSeq, a predicted model, not a curated record